GUUGAACGCUGGCGGCAUGCUUUACACAUGCAAGUCGAACGGUAACAGGCCGCAAGGUGCUGACGAGUGGCGAACGGGUGAGUAAUGCAUCGGAACGUGCCCAGUCGUGGGGGAUAACUAUCCGAAAGGAUAGCUAAUACCGCAUACGAUCUGCGGAUGAAAGCGGGGGACCUUCGGGCCUCGCGCUAUUGGAGCUGCCGAUGUCAGAUUAGGUAGUUGGUGGGGUAAAGGCUCACCAAGCCAACGAUCUGUGGCUGGGCUGAGAGGACGACCAGCCACACUGGGACUGGGACACGGCCCAGACUCCUACGGGAGGCAGCAGUGGGGAAUAUUGCACAAUGGGCGCAAGCCUGAUCCAGCAAUGCCGCGUGCAGGAAGAAGGCCUUCGGGUUGUAAACUGCUUUUGUACGGAACGAAAAGGUCUGGGUUAAUACCCUGGGCCGAUGACGGUACCGUAAGAAUAAGCACCGGCUAACUACGUGCCAGCAGCCGCCGUAA
Molecule: ribosomal RNA, 498 nt
Filed under: uncultured bacterium
Lineage: Bacteria
Description: partial 16S ribosomal RNA
Rfam family: Bacterial small subunit ribosomal RNA
Source: RNAcentral